GCGUUGUCCGGAAUUAUUGGGCGUAAAGAGCUCGUAGGCGGUUUGUCGCGUCUGCUGUGAAAACGCAAGGCUCAACCUUGCGCCUGCAGUGGGUACGGGCAGACUAGAGUGCGGUAGGGGAGAUUGGAAUUCCUGGUGUAGCGGUGGAAUGCGCAGAUAUCAGGAGGAACACCGAUGGCGAAGGCAGAUCUCUGGGCCGUAACUGACGCUGAGGAGCGAAAGCGUG
Molecule: ribosomal RNA, 226 nt
Filed under: uncultured bacterium
Lineage: Bacteria
Description: partial 16S ribosomal RNA
Rfam family: Bacterial small subunit ribosomal RNA
Source: RNAcentral